GCGAGAUCAAGGAGAGAGACUGACACACACCUCACACAUUGGAGUUUGGAGUCACUGUGCAGCCCAGAAAGAAGGCAGAGUGUGAGCGAAUGGGCCCGGGGUCUGCGCAGCUCCACAGCCCUCUCUGCCUCUAAAGUGUGCUGAGCGCUGCUCCGCUCUGCGCUGCCUGUGCCUGUCUCAGCUCCCGUCCGCCACAGCUGAGAGAUACAAAGAUACCAAGACUGAAAGAGAACGCUACAAUCAUGAAGCUUUUCCUUGCAUCGGCUCCACAGCGCUACUCUUGAGGUCUGAUUUGCUUUGGUGCCAGAUCUGCAAUUGACAAUGAGGGUGAAGAGAUGAACUUGCAGCUAGAAGCCCGGUCCCUGCAGUUCCUGCCACUGGACAUUUAGUGAUUAUUACUACACACAAGACGAUGUCCCUGUCUCCCAGAUAGCACUUCUGAGGACAAGGCCUUCACAGCACACAUCGUGCAC
Oreochromis aureus is the source of this 473-nucleotide long non-coding RNA. NCBI's taxonomy places the organism in Eukaryota, Metazoa, Chordata, Actinopteri, Cichliformes, Cichlidae. The record is from Ensembl.